RNAcentral lists this ribosomal RNA (524 nucleotides) under uncultured bacterium. RNAcentral's name for it is "partial 16S ribosomal RNA". It matches the Rfam family "Bacterial small subunit ribosomal RNA", at positions 28 to 523 of the family's 1533-position model. The record is from RNAcentral.
GACGAGCGCUGGCGGCGUGCCUAAUACAUGCAAGUCGAGCGCAGGAAACUGACGGAACUCUUCGGAGGGAAGGCAGCGGAAUGAGCGGCGGACGGGUGAGUAACACGUAAGGAACCUGCCUCAAGGAUUGGGAUAACUCCGAGAAAUCGGAGCUAAUACCGGAUAGUUCAACGGACCGCAUGGUCCGCUGAUGAAAGGCGCUCCGGCGUCACCUUGAGAUGGCCUUGCGGUGCAUUAGCUAGUUGGUGGGGUAACGGCCCACCAAGGCGACGAUGCAGAGCCGACCUGAGAGGGUGAUCGGCCACACUGGGACUGAGACACGGCCCAGACUCCUACGGGAGGCAGCAGUAGGGAAUCUUCCACAAUGGACGAAAGUCUGAUGGAGCAACGCCGCGUGAGUGAUGAAGGUUUUCGGAUCGUAAAACUCUGUUGUAAGGGAAGAACACGUACGAGAGGAAAUGCUCGUACCUUGACGGUACCUUACGAGAAAGCCACGGCUAACUACGUGCCAGCAGCCGCAGUAA